CUACCAUGGCUUUCACGGGUAACGGAGGAUUAGGGUUCGAUUCCGGAGAGGGAGCCUGAGAAACGGCUACCACUUCCACGGAAGGCAGCAGGCGCGUAAAUUACCCAAUCCUGAUUCAGGGAGGUAGUGACAAGAAAUAACGGGUCGGGGUUUUGCCCCGGGACUGCAAUGAGACGAAUUUAGACCCCUUAUCGAUCAACAAUUGGAGGGCAAGUCUGGUGCCRGCAGCCGCGGUAAUUCCAGCUCCAAUAGCGUAUAUUAAAGUUGUUGCAGUUAAAAAGCUCGUAGUUGGAUUUCUGGUAGUGGGUUCGAGCGCACAUGCGUGAUGUCUCAUGCCCGUUGCCAUCCUUCUGUUAACCUAUCAGGGCAUUCAUUUGUCAGUUAGGGGCUCAGAUAUUUUACCUUGAGAAAAUUAGAGUGUUUCAGGCAGGCUUGUGCCCGGAUACAUUAGCCUGGAAUAAUGGAAUAGGACUUUAGCCUCUUCUGUUGGUCUGAGGGGUUGAAGUAAUGAUUAAUAGGGAUAGUUGGGGGCAUUAGUACUUAACUGUCAGAGGUGAAAUUCUCGGAUUUGUUAAAGACUAACUUAUGCGAAAGCAUUUGCCAAGGAUGUUUUCAUUAAUCAA
Molecule: ribosomal RNA, 623 nt
Filed under: Ciliophora sp.
Lineage: Eukaryota; Ciliophora
Description: SSU rRNA
Source: RNAcentral